GUGGCAGCUACUGAAGCACUCUCUCUCAAAUCUGAACUCUCAAUACUGCACAAGAGGUAAGAAGGGUAAGAGGAAAUGAGAGGAGAUAGAGAUAUCGAGGAUGUUUUGAUUUGGGUUCUGCCAAUGGGAGGACCGAAGAUGCAGAGGAGAGAAAGAAAAAGAAGAUGAAGAGGGAGAGCCUUCAGCAAUUAGAUAUGCUUGGAUCGAAAUUCCAAGGGAUGAGAAGAGAUGAGUUUUGCAGUAGAAUCUCAGCUAAAACAGGGAAUGCCUUGAGCAAUGUAAGGAAGCUGUUGCAUUACUGAUGGUUGCUGUAGCUAGAUUUUCCGAUUUACCAGAGUACGUUGUCUGACAUUAGGCAACUAUUUCAAGAGAGAUAUGCGAACUCUCU
This is a long non-coding RNA of Rosa chinensis, 388 nucleotides long. RefSeq lists it as uncharacterized. The record is from RefSeq and is a predicted model, not a curated record. Lineage: Eukaryota; Viridiplantae; Streptophyta; Magnoliopsida; Rosales; Rosaceae. The transcript is spliced from 3 exons.